Long non-coding RNA from Nematolebias whitei (Rio pearlfish), 594 nucleotides. RefSeq lists it as uncharacterized. Lineage: Eukaryota; Metazoa; Chordata; Actinopteri; Cyprinodontiformes; Rivulidae. The record is from RefSeq and is a predicted model, not a curated record. The transcript is spliced from 3 exons.
UUGACCCUCCUGAAAAUAUUCUGGACUUUUCAAUCCAGCAGGACCAGGACUUAAAGAAAAAAGAGUCCGUUUCUUUGCUGAAAAAUCCCCCAGUAGGUGACUCCAGCCAGACCUCGGGGGGCUCCACAUCAGAGGGCUCCUCUGUAGGUUUCAGGCCGGUACCGAAGAAGAGGACGCUCCUCUUGAGCCGCAGUCAGUUAGAAAACAACAACCAGCUGGGGUUGGACAUCCAGGUGAGACCUGCAGAGAUUGUUCCUGCUCCAAGACGACACCACCAGCAGCAAUCCAUCCCAUCCGGCCUUAAGAGCAAAGAUGAAACGUCCCAGGAAGGUGUUUUAAAUCCGUCUGUUCAACCAUCCAAAACACGAGAGGAAAUUUCUCUGCAGCCACUCUGUGAUGGAUCUCAAGUCUCUUCUAAUUCAAGUCUGGAGAGAGAAAGAACAAGAGACAGACCAGCGGCGUACACCAGGACGGAUGUGAACGCCAGGAGAGAAACAGCAAAGUGGAAGAACGAUCGAGAAGAUCUGAACCCAAGAGAGCGAGCAGCCUCGAACGUUGUCUGUGUUCCGGAGAGGUUCGGGAGACGGGAGAAUC